UAAUUCCGCUGCUGUUUUGGCAACUCCACCACCAAUUUUACCUGCAAUUCGUCGUCUCCUGCGAGCAAGCCCGGAGGUUGUUAGGACGCAGGCGAGCAAAACAGCAAUCACGAAUGUUACUUUGAAGUUCAUCUUUGGUUGUUCAGAAUGAU
Molecule: non-coding RNA, 152 nt
Organism: Ciona intestinalis (vase tunicate)
Lineage: Eukaryota; Metazoa; Chordata; Ascidiacea; Phlebobranchia; Cionidae
Source: RefSeq, a predicted model, not a curated record